CAGGCCCCCCUCUUUUCCGUAGGUGAACCUGCGGAAGGAUCAUUAAUGAACUUGUGGUUGUUGCUGGCUAGUGUCUCUAGCAUGUGCACACGCACCUUCAUCCCACUUACACCUGUGCACCUUUUGUAGUAUGAGUUGUUGAAAGGGGGGGUUUUUUUUUAGCCUGGUCUCUGGAUUUACCUACUACGUUUUUUAUACACACACAUACUAAGUCAUUGAAUGUCCAUUUGAUUUUAUAUUGAAAAAAACAACUUUCAACAACGGAUCUCUUGGCUCUCGCAUCGAUGAAGAACGUAGCGAAUUACGAUAUGUAAUGUGAAUUGCAGAAUUCAGUGAAUCAUCGAAUCUUUGAACGCAUCUUGCGCUCUUUGGUAUUCCGAAGAGCAUGCCUGUUUGAGUGUCAUGAAUCUCUCAAAUAUGAAAGCUUGAUUGCUUUCUGUAUUUGGACUUGGAAGUCUGUUGGCGCAAGUCAACUCUUCUUAAAUGCAUUAGCUGGGGUUUAUAUAGUGGAUCCUUGGUGUGAUAAUUAUCUACGCCUUGAAGUCCCUGUAGACCUUGCUUCAAACCGUCUUACUACGAGACAAUUUUGAAUCAUCUGGCCUCAAAUCAGGUAGGACUACCCGCUGAACUUAAGCAUAUCAAUAAGCGGAGGAA
The sequence is a ribosomal RNA, 654 nucleotides long. The stretch from base 250 to 403 matches the Rfam family "5.8S ribosomal RNA".